AACACAUGCAAGUCGAGCGGUAACAGGGGGUGCUUGCACCCCGCUGACGAGCGGCGGACGGGUGAGUAAUGCAUAGGAAACUGCCCAGUAGUGGGGGAUAGCCCGGGGAAACCCGGAUUAAUACCGCGUACGCCCUUCGGGGGAAAGCAGGGGAUCUUCGGACCUUGCGCUAUUGGAUGUGCCUAUGUCGGAUUAGCUAGUUGGUGGGGUAAAGGCCUACCAAGGCGACGAUCCGUAGCUGGUCUGAGAGGAUGAUCAGCCACAUCGGGACUGAGACACGGCCCGAACUCCUACGGGAGGCAGCAGUGGGGAAUAUUGGACAAUGGGGGCAACCCUGAUCCAGCCAUGCCGCGUGUGUGAAGAAGGCUUUCGGGUUGUAAAGCACUUUCAGUGAGGAGGAAAAGUUGGUCGUUAAUACCGGCCAGCCUUGACGUUACUCACAGAAGAAGCACCGGCUAACUCCGUGCCAGCAGCCGCGGUAAUACGGAGG
Molecule: ribosomal RNA, 490 nt
Filed under: Marinobacter sp.
Lineage: Bacteria; Pseudomonadati; Pseudomonadota; Gammaproteobacteria; Pseudomonadales; Marinobacteraceae
Description: bacterial SSU rRNA
Rfam family: Bacterial small subunit ribosomal RNA
Source: RNAcentral